This 492-nucleotide ribosomal RNA is filed under the name uncultured bacterium. RNAcentral's name for it is "partial 16S ribosomal RNA". It matches the Rfam family "Bacterial small subunit ribosomal RNA", at positions 29 to 507 of the family's 1533-position model. The record is from RNAcentral.
AGUGAACGCUGGCGGUAGGCCUAACACAUGCAAGUCGAACGGCAGCACAGUAAGAGCUUGCUCUUACGGGUGGCGAGUGGCGGACGGGUGAGGAAUACAUCGGAAUCUACUUUUUCGUGGGGGAUAACGUAGGGAAACUUACGCUAAUACCGCAUACGACCUACGGGUGAAAGCAGGGGAUCUUCGGACCUUGCGCGAUUGAAUGAGCCGAUGUCGGAUUAGCUAGUUGGCGGGGUAAAGGCCCACCAAGGCGACGAUCCGUAGAUGGUCUGAGAGGAUGAUCAGCCACACUGGAACUGAGACACGGUCCAGACUCCUACGGGAGGCAGCAGUGGGGAAUAUUGGACAAUGGGCGCAAGCCUGGUCCAGCCAUACCGAGUGGGUGAAGAAGGCCUUCGGGUUGUAAAGCCCUUUUGUUGGGAAAGAAAAGCAGCAGGUUAAUACCCCGCUGUUCUGACGGUACCCAAAGAAUAAGCACCGGCUAACUUCGUG